UACGUAGGCAGCAAGCGUUGUUCGGAAUUACUGGGCGUAAAGAGUGUGUAGGCGGUGUUCCAAGUCUGGUGUGAAAUCUCCCGGCUUAACUGGGAGGGUGCAUUAGAAACUGGAAUGCUAGAGGAUGGGAGAGGUAAGCGGAAUUCCUGGUGUAGCGGUGAAAUGCGUAGAUAUCAGGAGGAACACCUGUGGUGUAGACAGCUUACUGGACCAUUUCUGACGCUGAGACACGAAAGCGUAGGUAGCAAACAGG
This 253-nucleotide ribosomal RNA is filed under the name uncultured bacterium. RNAcentral describes it as "partial 16S ribosomal RNA". It matches the Rfam family "Bacterial small subunit ribosomal RNA", at positions 524 to 776 of the family's 1533-position model. The record is from RNAcentral.